Non-coding RNA from Triticum aestivum (bread wheat), 56 nucleotides. The record is from Rfam. NCBI's taxonomy places the organism in Eukaryota, Viridiplantae, Streptophyta, Magnoliopsida, Poales, Poaceae.
GCUCAGUUGGUAAAGCACAAGGCUCUUAACCUUGUGGACGUGGAUUCAAGUUCCAU